UUUCUAUGAUGAGUACGGGUGUAGCAAUCCCGGGGCCCUAGCUGGUUACCUUUCCUAAAAAGGCGAAAGCCAAGGUGUUUACCGUGCCAAAGGCUGAAUGGCCCUGCGUUAUUGGGUCUCGAACGGUUACCUCCGCCUUGCCAUAGUGAUGGUUUUACCCACCUCAAGGCCUAUAAACAGUUCAGAAUGAACGAAGAUCCACAUAUGGGAAGCCUACAUCAAGGAAAUUCUCGAAUUCACAUCGUCCUCGAAGAUCCAAGGAAGUUCUGCGUUCAUUGUGGAUAGUUUUAUUUGUGAUAUAGAAUAAUGGAAGGAAGAAAUUUAAUUCACACUCAUCCAAGAAGAGGAAGGAAAAAGACUUGAAAAAUAGUUGGUGUAUAGUAUAUGUGUCCUUAAUAACCGAAAUAUAUCGUGUAGAUAUUCGUAUUAGUGAUAGGAAAUAUUUUUAUCGCUUACAUAAAUGACAAAAAAAUGAAAAAAAAAUAAAAAAUAGAAAAUGACAAAAAAAUUCAAAAGAGAAAACGACAAAAAAAAAUUAAAAGGGAAAACUACAAAAAAAAAUUAAAAGGGAAAACGACAAAAAAAAUAAAAAAUAAAAAUAUUACAGCAAAAAACCACAGAAUUUCCUUCAAUUUGUGUGAGAAACAUAUUGCAUAGCUUAAAUGUAUAUAAAAAUGUUACGUAUAAAAUAUAAAUCGAAGAAACUUUGUAAAUUCAUAAGAAAUAUACUACAACUACGUAUUAUGUACCUAUUCUUUUGAAGUUUAUGAUGACAAUCUAAUAUAUUUCCAUCACUGAAAUCUUCCAAACACGGAAUUUGAACUCUUUUUACCAGAUGAAUUUUUCAUAACUAUCAGAGUUUCAUAUUUAUGUCAUCAAUUCCUUCAAAUUAUAUUUGAAUUCAGUGAAAAUAAUAAAUAUGAAAAUAUUAGUUGUCACCCUAUUCUACAAGAGCAAUACUUAUUAUAUUUAUAAUUGCUAUACACUUCUCUUACAAUUCAAUCAAUAUAUUAUGUAUUGUUAAUCGACCUAACCAUUAAAUAUUAGUUAAUAACUUUUAUUUCUAGUUCAAGUUAUAUGUAUUGUGUACUGAAGGAGAUAAAUCUAUAUUGGACUUGGUGAAAUAAAUAUUAGUAAUUGUCUUUUUAUGAUGCUUCCAUACAAAAUGACAUCUACAACGGAAGGAUGGAAGGUGAUGAUUAAAUGUACAGUUUAUGAAUGGUAAUAUGUUCUGGGUCAAGUUUAAUGUUAGUUUUUAAUUAAUAUUUUAUGGAACAGGCAGGUGGCUCAAGGAUUGAAAGUUUCGGGUAGUGAAUCACAUUGAAAAUCUUCAUAGAGAUCAAAGUUUAACAUAUCUUUCGAAUCCGCUUGUAUGACAAAUACAGUUUCAAAUUCCAUGUAAGAAAAUAUUUUUGGGUGGAAUAAAAAAUUUUCUUGAAGAAUUUGACAACAGAAUACCUAACGCUUUAAAAAUAUAUUCAAAAUCUUUUGUGAACCUCCAAAGUUGUAUAAUUUGAAGGGGAGCUUAACCUCCCCUGCCACCGCAUCUAAUGUCUUAUUUAAGCCUACUGUUCCUAUGUCUAAACCGGCAAUCCUUGAUCCAUUUCCUUUUAAUCCAUAAAUAUUAUCUGCUUUGUAUAGUGGCAAUGCGCUCAACAAUUCUUAUCAGACAUUGGAAGAUACUAUAAUAAUUGUAUAAUAUCAUGAAUUGAUGAAUAAUUUGUAAUUGAUAUGUGAAUUAGCAGAUUAAGAUAUCUCUUAGGUAUAAUUAUAAUGUUUCCCAUUAUAUAAUCAAUGUUACAUAAUUAAUUGGUAAAAUUAACAGUAUAAUUCUAAUGAGUAACGCAGAAUUUAUUCAAAGCAGGAGGCAGCACCUACAAGCUUUAAAUUAUGUCUAUGUGCUUUACUUUUUUAGAUACAUAGCUCCUAAGCAAAUGGCUUUUUCAUACUAUAAGAUUAGCUGUAGUUUUAUGUUGUUAUAUAGUAGUUGUUAAUAUAGUUGUAGAACUUGGUAUUUAAGAUGGGAUCUGACCAGGAUCCUGAACUAUUUUAUGGGGAUUAUCACUUAGUUGUAUUGAGUUCAUUGUCGAAAAUGAAGGUGUACACAGUUGGAGUGAAGUGAACUACAGUGAAACCACAUUUUUCCACGUGAACUAUUCAUGAUAGAAAUAGCUACGACCACAGUAUACCAUCAUAUACCUAUAUUCAGAAGAUGGAUUGUAUUGCAAAAUGGAACAUCCGUUUCGCAAUCACCUACAUCAAGAAGGGUGAGGUUUCUCGAUGAUACAGAAAUAGGAAUGAUAUUGACGUCACCUGUUCCUCCUGAGCGACUACAAUCAAUGAGAUAUUGGCAUAAAUGACGGUGCCGUGAAGGGAUAA
Molecule: long non-coding RNA, 2379 nt
Organism: Coccinella septempunctata (seven-spotted ladybird)
Lineage: Eukaryota; Metazoa; Arthropoda; Insecta; Coleoptera; Coccinellidae
Exons: 3
Source: RefSeq, a predicted model, not a curated record